Long non-coding RNA from Manacus vitellinus (golden-collared manakin), 415 nucleotides. RefSeq lists it as uncharacterized. The record is from RefSeq and is a predicted model, not a curated record. The transcript is spliced from 3 exons. Lineage: Eukaryota; Metazoa; Chordata; Aves; Passeriformes; Pipridae.
AAAACCAUCUCUGGCCCAAAAUGGAACUGUGAGCUGUACCACAUGCUCCAAAUGAAGUGCUAAUUAAAUACUUCUACUUAAUGUAGACAACGUUUCUUUGAGAAGGCUGUAAUGUAUCGCAGAUGUGGCGAAUCCCUUGGAGAGCAGAGAAGGAGCACUGUGCACGUUGGAUCCCUCUGUGAGUGACCUUGGUAUCGGGAAUACUGCAGGUGCUUCCAUAUGGAUGCACACUCUGACACAUGGGACAUAAAUGGUGGAGCUGUGGAGCUUGAAUGGGUACUUGAGUCUUAAGAAAAACAGCUGGACCCAGCCCCUGAUCCUGAGGGAUAUGAAAUCCAAUUUGCCUCCAGUGCUGACAGGUUUUCAGCUGGAUCUGCAGCCAGGUAAGAGGCUCCUGCAGCCACAUCAUGCCAAG